GGGCCCUUAGCUCAACUGGCAGAGCAAUGGACUUUUAAUCCGUGGGUUCAGGGCUCGAUCCCCUGGGGGCUCA
RNAcentral lists this transfer RNA (73 nucleotides) under Lipingzhangella halophila. It matches the Rfam family "tRNA". Rfam says of the family: Transfer RNA (tRNA) molecules are approximately 80 nucleotides in length. Lineage: Bacteria; Bacillati; Actinomycetota; Actinomycetes; Streptosporangiales; Nocardiopsidaceae. The record is from Rfam by way of RNAcentral.